Molecule: ribosomal RNA, 465 nt
Filed under: Vreelandella stevensii
Lineage: Bacteria; Pseudomonadati; Pseudomonadota; Gammaproteobacteria; Oceanospirillales; Halomonadaceae
Description: partial 16S ribosomal RNA
Rfam family: Bacterial small subunit ribosomal RNA
Source: RNAcentral
CCUACGGGGGGCUGCAGUGGGGAAUAUUGGACAAUGGGCGAAAGCCUGAUCCAGCCAUGCCGCGUGUGUGAAGAAGGCCUUCGGGUUGUAAAGCACUUUCAGUGGGGAAGAAAGCCUUGGGGCUAAUACCCUCGAGGAAGGACAUCACCCACAGAAGAAGCACCGGCUAACUCCGUGCCAGCAGCCGCGGUAAUACGGAGGGUGCGAGCGUUAAUCGGAAUUACUGGGCGUAAAGCGCGCGUAGGCGGUCUGAUAAGCCGGUUGUGAAAGCCCCGGGCUCAACCUGGGAACGGCAUCCGGAACUGUCAGGCUAGAGUGCAGGAGAGGAAGGUAGAACUCCCGGUGUAGCGGUGAAAUGCGUAGAGAUCGGGAGGAAUACCAGUGGCGAAGGCGGCCUUCUGGACUGACACUGACGCUGAGGUGCGAAAGCGUGGGUAGCAAACAGGAUUAGAUACCCGGGUAGUC